Molecule: long non-coding RNA, 1371 nt
Organism: Oncorhynchus keta (chum salmon)
Lineage: Eukaryota; Metazoa; Chordata; Actinopteri; Salmoniformes; Salmonidae
Exons: 3
Source: RefSeq, a predicted model, not a curated record
AACGUACAUUCCCACAACUUCCAAUGAAGUUGCUGGAUUGUCUACACAAUAAACAUAUGAUUUCACCCAUUGGUCAAAAUAUGUGGUUUGAUUGGACACCCUAUUAUAGGGAAAACCUAUGAUUAGCCUGAUAGCCCUUGAGUAGCCUAGGCCAGGCCCAUGUUAACACAAUAGGCUAAUAGCUUCAGUUUGUUACAUUGGCCAAAUAGUCUUCAUUGUAUACACAUAUUUCAAUCAUUUUUCUGGCAACGAACGCUAAGGAAUAAGUGACCUAUUUUGUAAUAAUUUUGCUUCUGUGAACUAUGAAUGCUUGGAGAGGCUUGCUAUUUUUCCCGCCCUUACCAUUUUGGAACAUGCUCGCGCAGCUUGUGCUGAUUAUUCACUUCUAGCUACAGCUCCAGAUGGAUCAACACAUGCUGGACAUAUGACAACUUAUGCCUGCCCAUACCAUAACCCCACCGCCACCAUGGGGCACUCAUGUUCACAAUGUUGACAUCAGGCAACCACUCGCCCACACAACGCCAUACACGCUCCCUGCCAUCUGCCCGGUACAGUUGAAACCCGGGAUUCAUCCGUGAAGAGAGAACUUCUCCAGUGUGCCAGUGGUCAUUGAAGGUCUACCAGUUGCUGACACUGUCCUUUGCAGACUUACCCUGGGUUCCAUCCAAGUCUGUCUGGUUCCUGUAACUGAGAGGUGCUGAUGAAGGUAACAUCAUUUAAAACUGCUCUUAUUUCAUUACCAAUUAAAUCAUAAAGGUUAUUCCGUUCAGGAGGAUUAAGUAAGUGCUAUAUAUCAAGGACAAGAAUACAGACACUGGCCAAUUAAAAGGUAUUGAUUCAAAUCACAUUUACAUGCAUGUAUUUGAGGCAUAUUAACAUGCGUGUAUUUGAAACAAUAGUCCUGGCCAUUGUUUUUGCUGUCUUCAUUAAGUCUGCAAUUGUUUGCCACUGACGAUUGACUGCCAAGUUUGGUGAACAUCAAAGCAUUUAAAAUUUUCCCCCAAACCAGAGAACCCAUUAAAUUAACAUGCAUAUUGCAUCUUGAGCUCAAUAAAUUGCCUAAUUGUGAGAGGCACCGACAAUAGAGUAGUUUCGUCAUCAUGUCGAUAAUAGAGAAAGAUAUAGAACAUAGUUGGUAUACUUGUGUGUUUACGUGGCUGUGUGUAAUUGUGUUUGCGUGUGUGGAUUCUAAAUGAGCGUGGGAGAGCGUGUGAUUGUAAUGCAGCCUCCAGUGCUCUCCAUCCCCCGUUUAAUAACCUGGUCUCCUUUGAUGUGGCUGCAAUGGAUGAGGUGUCUCUUUCUCUGCAUCACUUGUGGCAUGUAAAUCCGGCUGGGAUUUUAUCUCCUUACCUGCUCAAGGGUCUACGUGAU